Molecule: long non-coding RNA, 326 nt
Filed under: Physcomitrium patens
Lineage: Eukaryota; Viridiplantae; Streptophyta; Bryopsida; Funariales; Funariaceae
Description: long non-coding RNA (PPAT_LNC011798)
Source: RNAcentral
AGAAGAUAGUUUUAUAUCUACUUUCAAUAUCUUGAAAAGAGUUCUCCAAAAUCUUGAUAAAAAUUGUGUUCUUUAUUUGAUAUAAUAUCCUUUGAUAAUCCAUAAUAGCGAUUGUAGAAUGUAUAAAUGACUUUUCUGGUUCGUUAUCGGUUAAAUAGUAGUAAUGUUGGAAUUUAGAUGAAUGGUUAGUUCGAUUAGUUGUUAAUAGUAGGAAGUUAGGAACAUAUGUAGUUAAGAAGCCAAAGUUUCACAACCUGUGGAAUCUGCUGAAUGACGAUUCAUAUUUUGGUAGGAUAAAGAGGUUGAGGAAGAAGGAAUGGGGGCCA